Long non-coding RNA from Daphnia pulicaria, 2085 nucleotides. RefSeq lists it as uncharacterized. The transcript is spliced from 6 exons. The record is from RefSeq and is a predicted model, not a curated record. NCBI's taxonomy places the organism in Eukaryota, Metazoa, Arthropoda, Branchiopoda, Diplostraca, Daphniidae.
AUUGAGAUGUUCCUAUGGUGGCUUUUGAUAGCACAAAUUGAGUAAACCAAUAUAAGGGGCAAUGGAAGGAUAACCUUGCUUGAACCUAAUCGCCUCCUACUCUUUUUGGAUUUCUAGAAGAGCUCUUCCGCUUGAUCCUAAACCAAAGACGUGUACUUCGCUGUGAUCGGACUCUGUUGCCUUGACUGCAAGGUACUCGGUGAAUCCCCGCCUACCGUAAGCGUCCUGGCUUCCUGGAAACCUCUUUAUCUUCUAAGAUGAAGAAUUUUCACGAUUGCAUUAUUGUGGAAUCCUCGAGUCGUCAAACAUUGCAUGAAGCUCAGAGUUGUGUAUAUCUCUCUUGCUGCAAUGUAUCUUGCAGAUGGAUUGGAUUACCACUCCUGUAGAUGGGAUGUCUAUAGUUUCAUGAGCAGGGGUGUUGGUGUGCCAACCCAAUAUCAGGAAGAUCAGAAUUAUCUUCUUCUCCCUUAAGGAAAUGUAAGUUUUUUUGGUUUUUUAAUUUGUGCGUUUUGUUGAUGUAAUUAAUUUUACUAUUUAACAACAUAAAUACGUGGUUAUUUAAGGUUUUAGUUGGGAUUUAGAGUUGUUUUAUGUUGUCUAACUAACCGUAAAAAGGUCUAAGAACCGUAAGAAGGCACAACAGACUUCCAACAGCAGAUAAAAGUAGAGGUGCACUGCCCAUUUUAGAUCUUGGUUCUACUUAGUUUCUAUAGCUAUUUUUCAGUAAAGAAAUCACUAACCACGAAGCGGUUUGAGUUUUUCAUCUGUAUUGGCCAUUCCAUUGUAUUUGUUAGAUGUGCUAACAGAGAAUGUAGAGAACUCGUUUAGAUGCAACCCAGCUAAGAGUUAGGUAGAGUUUUAUUUCUUAGAGGUGAAUUUGUGUAAAUUUAUAAAUAACAUAGAUAAUUUCCUUGUCCCAUUUUAGAGUUUCAGUGAUCUGGAGAGCAUGAAGUGAAUAAUCUGCAAUGUGUAUGAUGAGUACAGAUGUAUAAUAGGAAACAAUUUUAUUUUUUAAAUCCAUAUAGCCCAUAAUCAUUUUAUUCUUUCCUACCGACGUACAAAAACGAAUGUUAUGAAUUUCGUUUUGGGGUCAAUGGAGUUCCGUUACUGGCCUUUUGCGACGUCCAGACAGGAUGUCCUUCUCGCUUGAAGGUCACAAGAAACAUUACUUAAAACUGGCAUGCGGUGGUGUAGAACUGGGUGAGAAUGACACGUGUUUCAUCACUAUCAGGUACAAUAGCAAGGGUAAGUUAUUUGGUAUUCAUUUUGAUAUAGGUUUUUGUAGACCCAUCCCCAGAAAAAUCACCUGCAGAAGGAAAGGCCAGUUUGCAUUUCAAUCGAAGGUCAUGGAGAUCAAUUCUCGUAUGUAAGGGCAAAUAAAAAGGCGAAAGAAAUCAGUCGAGUGAACAUCUCCGAUAUACAAGAGCUACAGUGCACCACGUGUCACCAUCUGUCACCAUCUGCAUUCUUCGUCGCGCUACCAGUUUCAAUCAUGGUAAACUAUACUGUCGUGCUGUUGUUGGUGUUGUGUCGUUGUUUGCUGGUUCAGCCACUGGUGUACCGAUGACUCUUGGGUGUGGCGGAUACCAAAGCACUACACUGCCGUCUUACUACACAACAUACAACACAACCAGUUGCUACACUAAUGCCCCCAAAUACUACACCACCAAGGAACCAGAGUGUUACACAACUACAAAUGCCGCGCCAGCUUAUUACACCGAGGCUCCCUAACACAACACCACCAAGGCAUUGCGGUACUACACCACUACAUAUCAUGGUCGUAUGAAAGGAGAGAAAAGGAGAAAGAAUUCAGCAGCCGAUUGAGCAUCUCCGUUACGGCUAUAGGAACUGCCGUGCACUAUAUGUCAACAACUUCAUUCUUCGUCGCAUUCCAAGUUUUAAAUAAAGUAAACUAUGGUGUUGUGCUGCUGUUGGGUGUUGUAUCGUUGAUGGUUGGUACAACCAUGGUGUAUCGAUAUCUCCUGGGUAUGGUGGGUACCAACAACAACAUACGCAACAACCGCUUACUACACUGAGCCACCCAGGAUCAAGUUGUUACCCCACCGAAGCGCCGAAGUACUGCGC